Molecule: signal recognition particle RNA, 117 nt
Filed under: Pan troglodytes (chimpanzee)
Lineage: Eukaryota; Metazoa; Chordata; Mammalia; Primates; Hominidae
Description: Metazoan signal recognition particle RNA
Rfam family: Metazoan signal recognition particle RNA
About the family: The signal recognition particle (SRP) is a universally conserved ribonucleoprotein. It is involved in the co-translational targeting of proteins to membranes. The eukaryotic SRP consists of a 300-nucleotide 7S RNA and six proteins: SRPs 72, 68, 54, 19, 14, and 9.
Source: Rfam by way of RNAcentral
GCCGGGCAUGGUGGCUCAUGCCUGUAAUCCCAGCACUUUGGGAGGCUGAGGUGGGCGGAUCACCUGAGGUCAGGAGUUCGAGACCAGCCUGGCCAACAUGGUGAAACCCCAUCUCUA